This 2085-nucleotide ribosomal RNA is filed under the name human gut metagenome. RNAcentral describes it as "bacterial LSU rRNA". It matches the Rfam family "Bacterial large subunit ribosomal RNA", at positions 184 to 2288 of the family's 2925-position model. The record is from RNAcentral.
CCCGGGGAACUGAAACAUCUAAGUACCCGGAGGAAAAGAAAACAAAAGUGAUUCCGAAAGUAGUGGCGAGCGAAAUCGGAGAAGCCUAAACCGAAUGUAGAAAUACGUUAGGGGUAAGGACCGCGAAAAGCGAGAGCGGAAGCUAACCGAAAUACCUGGGAAGGUAUAACGCAGAGGGUGAAAUUCCCGUAGGUGAAAGCGGAAGCUUAGCGAGCGGAAUCCGGAGUACGUCGGGACACGAGAAAUCCUGACGGAAGGCACGGGGACCAUCCCGUAAGGCUAAAUACGACCACGUGACCGAUAGCGAACAGUACCGUGAGGGAAAGGUGAAAAGAACCCCGGGAGGGGAGUGAAAAAGAACCUGAAACCGUAAGUUUACAAGCAGACGAAGAGCGUUAAGAGCUCGACGUCGUACUUUUUGUAGAACGGGCCGGCGAGUUACGAUGUGAUGCGAGGUUAAGCGAUGAAGUCGCGGAGCCGAAGCGAAAGCGAAUCUGAAGAGGGUGAAAAGUAUCAUGUCGUAGACCCGAAACCGAAUGACCUAACCAUGAGCAGGUUGAAGCAAUGGUAAAACGUUGUGGAGGACCGAACACACGCCUGUUGAAAUAGUCGGUGAUGACUUGUGGUUAGCGGAGAAAUUCCAAACGAAUUCGGAUAUAGCUGGUUCUCCUCGAAAUAGCUUUAGGGCUAGCCUCGCGUAGAGACUAUGAAGGUAAAGCACUGAAUGACCUAGGGGGCUUCACAGCCUACCGAAGUUUAUCAAACUAAGAAUGUUAUAGUAAGAGGCGCGGGAGUCAGACAGCGACAGCUAAGUGCCGUUGUCAAAAGGGAAACAGCCCAGAUCUACAGCUAAGGUCCCGAAGUACAGGUUAAGUGGAAAAGGAUGUGACGAUGCAAAGACAACCAGGAUGUUGGCUCAGAAGCAGCCACGCAUUAAAAGAGUGCGUAAUAGCUCACUGGUCGAGUGACGUUGCGCCGAAAAUUAACGGGGCUAAAACCUGACACCGAAGCUUAGGAAUACUUUAAGAAGUAUUGGUAGAGGAGCAAUGUAUACGAGAAGAAGGCGUACCGGAAGGAGCGCCGGAUUGUAUAGAAGAGAGAAUGCCGGCAUAAGUAGCGAGAGCGGCGCGAGAAACGCCGCCGUCGAAAGUCUGAGGUUUUCCGGGGAAGGUUCGUCCGCCCGGAGAAAGUCGGGACCUAAGCGGAGGCCGAAAGGCGUACGUGAUGGACAGCAGGUUGAUAUUCCUGCACUACCGAGAGAGAUAAUGAAGCAAUGACACGGAAAGAUAGAAGAAGCGCGCGGAUGGAAAAGCGCGUCCAAGCAAAGAGGGUGGCUUAUAGUAAAGAACGUAAGUCAAAAGCCUGAUUUGUGACGGGGAGUGGACCAAGGAAACGAAGUCUUUGAAUCUACGCCGGCGAGAAAAGUUGCUAAAUAUUUCGAGGUACCCGUACCGCAAACCGACACAGGUAGACGAGAAGAAAAUUCUAAGACGAACGGGAGAACCCUUGUUAAGGAACUCGGCAAAACGACCCCGUAACUUCGGGAGAAGGGGAGCCAUCGAGAGAUGGCCGCAGUGAAGAGGCCCAAGCGACUGUUUAUCAAAAACACAGGUUUCUGCUAAGGCGAAAGCCAAGGUAUAGGAGCUGACUCCUGCCCAGUGCCGGAAGGUCAAGGGGACUUGUAAGCAGCAAUGCGAAGCAACGAACUUAAGCCCCGGUGAACGGCGGCCGUAACUAUAACGGUCCUAAGGUAGCGAAAUUCCUUGUCGGGUAAGUUCCGACCCGCACGAAUGGAGUAACGAUUUGGGCGCUGUCUCAACAGGGGGCCCGGCGAAAUUGUAGUAUACGUGAAGAUGCGUAUUAACCCGCGACUGGACGGAAAGACCCCGUAGAGCUUUACUGUAGCUUGAUAUUGAAUCUCGGCAACUGAUGCACAGAAUAGGUGGGAGACAAAGAAGCAGCGUUUUCGGGCGCUGCGGAGUCAACUUUGGGAUACCACUCUUCGGUUGCUGCGAUUCUAACCGAAAACCGUGAAACCGGGUUCGGGACAUUGUCAGGCGGGCAGUUUGACUGGGGCGGUCGCCU